CAYACRUGCAAGUCGAGCGAACUGAUUAGAAGCUUGCUUCUAUGACGUUAGCGGCGGACGGGUGAGUAACACGUGGGCAACCUGCCUGUAAGACUGGGAUAACUUCGGGAAACCGAAGCUAAUACCGGAUAGGAUCUUCUCCUUCAUGGGAGAUGAUUGAAAGAUGGUUUCGGCUAUCACUUACAGAUGGGCCCGCGGUGCAUUAGCUAGUUGGUGAGGUAACGGCUCACCAAGGCAACGAUGCAUAGCCGACCUGAGAGGGUGAUCGGCCACACUGGGACUGAGACACGGCCCAGACUCCUACGGGAGGCAGCAGUAGGGAAUCUUCCGCAAUGGACGAAAGUCUGACGGAGCAACGCCGCGUGAGUGAUGAAGGCUUUCGGGUCGUAAAACUCUGUUGUUAGGGAAGAACAAGUACRAGAGUAACUGCUUGUACCUUGACGGUACCUAACSAGAAAGCCACGGCUAACUACGUGCCAGCAGCCGCGGUA
RNAcentral lists this ribosomal RNA (491 nucleotides) under Priestia aryabhattai. Its description in RNAcentral is "bacterial SSU rRNA". It matches the Rfam family "Bacterial small subunit ribosomal RNA", at positions 50 to 522 of the family's 1533-position model. The record is from RNAcentral. Lineage: Bacteria; Bacillati; Bacillota; Bacilli; Caryophanales; Bacillaceae.